Molecule: ribosomal RNA, 301 nt
Filed under: uncultured bacterium
Lineage: Bacteria
Description: partial 16S ribosomal RNA
Rfam family: Bacterial small subunit ribosomal RNA
Source: RNAcentral
CAGUCGCCACGGUAAUACGUAGGUGGCAAGCGUUGUCCGGAAUUAUUGGGCGUAAAGGGCUCGCAGGCGGUUUCUUAAGUCUGAUGUGAAAGCCCCCGGCUCAACCGGGGAGGGUCGUUGGAAACUGGGAAACUUGAGUGCAGAAGAGGAGAGCGGAAUUCCACGUGUAGCGAUGAAAUGCGUAGAGAUGUGGAGGAACACCAGUGGCGAAGGCGACUCUCUGGUCUGUAACUGACGCUGAGGAGCGAAAGCGCGGGGAGCGAACAGGAUUAGAUACCCCUGUAGUCCCUGUCUCUUAUAC